GUCCACGCCCUAACGAUGUUUACUUGCUGUUCGAUUUCGGAUUGAGUGGCGAAGCGAAAGCGAUAAGUAACCACCUGGGGAGUACGCUCGCAAGGGUGAAACUCAAAGGAAUUGACGGGGUCCGCACAAGCGGUGGAGCAUGUGGUUUAAUUCGAUGAUACGCGAGGAACCUUACCUGGGCUAGAAUGUGAGAGGCGGAUGGUGAAAGCCAUUUUUCCCGCAAGGGACUCGAACAAGGUGCUGCAUGGCUGUCGU
This 255-nucleotide ribosomal RNA is filed under the name uncultured bacterium. RNAcentral describes it as "partial 16S ribosomal RNA". It matches the Rfam family "Bacterial small subunit ribosomal RNA", at positions 793 to 1055 of the family's 1533-position model. The record is from RNAcentral.